AAAACUUUCAACAACGGAUCUCUUGGCUCUGGCAUCGAUGAAGAACGCAGCGAAACGCGAUAAGUAAUGUGAAUUGCAGAAUCCAGUGAAUCAUCGAAUCUUUGAACGCACAUUGCGCCCGCCAGCAUUCUGGCGGGCAUGCCUGUUCGAGCGUCAUUU
RNAcentral lists this ribosomal RNA (159 nucleotides) under Beauveria bassiana. RNAcentral describes it as "5.8S ribosomal RNA". It matches the Rfam family "5.8S ribosomal RNA". From Rfam's summary of the family: 5.8S ribosomal RNA (5.8S rRNA) is a component of the large subunit of the eukaryotic ribosome. Lineage: Eukaryota; Fungi; Ascomycota; Sordariomycetes; Hypocreales; Cordycipitaceae. The record is from RNAcentral.